This 293-nucleotide ribosomal RNA is filed under the name uncultured bacterium. RNAcentral describes it as "partial 16S ribosomal RNA". It matches the Rfam family "Bacterial small subunit ribosomal RNA", at positions 505 to 796 of the family's 1533-position model. The record is from RNAcentral.
GUGUCAGCCGCCGCGGUAAUACGAAGGGUGCAAGCGUUGUUCGGAAUUAUUGGGCGUAAAGCGCACGUAGGCGGCUUUGUAAGUCUCACUGUGAAAGUCCGGGGCUCAACCCCGGGAUGCCAGGGGAUACUGCGAGGCUUGAGACAAGUAGAGGUUGGUAGAAUUCCGGGUGUAGCGGUGGAAUGCGUAGAGAUCCGGAGGAAUACCAGAGGCGAAGGCGGCCAACUGGGCUUGUUCUGACGCUGAGGUGCGAAAGCGUGGGGAGCGAACAGGAUUAGAUACCCUAGUAGUCC